This 22-nucleotide microRNA is filed under the name Oreochromis niloticus (Nile tilapia). Its description in RNAcentral is "oni-miR-10647". Lineage: Eukaryota; Metazoa; Chordata; Actinopteri; Cichliformes; Cichlidae. The record is from miRBase by way of RNAcentral.
UUGUUGUUGCUGCUGUGAUGCU